UGUUGGUUCUCCGCAACGCUACUCUGUUUACGAGGUCAGGUCCGGAAGGAAGCAGCCAGAGCAGAGACGUGCUGGACGUAGCUGGCAGGG
This 90-nucleotide signal recognition particle RNA is filed under the name Klebsiella pneumoniae. Its description in RNAcentral is "signal recognition particle sRNA small type". It matches the Rfam family "Bacterial small signal recognition particle RNA". Rfam says of the family: The signal recognition particle (SRP) is a universally conserved ribonucleoprotein involved in the co-translational targeting of proteins to membranes. Archaeal SRP consists of a 7S RNA and homologues of the eukaryotic SRP19 and SRP54 proteins. Lineage: Bacteria; Pseudomonadati; Pseudomonadota; Gammaproteobacteria; Enterobacterales; Enterobacteriaceae. The record is from RNAcentral.